This is a long non-coding RNA of Cyprinus carpio (common carp), 720 nucleotides long. RefSeq lists it as uncharacterized. The transcript is spliced from 3 exons. NCBI's taxonomy places the organism in Eukaryota, Metazoa, Chordata, Actinopteri, Cypriniformes, Cyprinidae. The record is from RefSeq and is a predicted model, not a curated record.
UUGCUGUGUUCAGUGGUGAAUGUGGGUCAUGUGACUCUCUCCUGGUACAAAGGAAACAGUUUAUUGUCCAGCAUCAGUGUGUCUGAUCUCAGCAUCAGUCUCUCUCUACCUCUGGAGGUUGAGUGUCUGGAUGAUUCCUACAGCUGUGUUGUGGCUCAUUCAUUCACCAACCGGACUACACAUCUCAAGACUGCUCUCUGUCACACAUGUGCAGACUCUGUCCACUGCUGUGGUUCUACUGAAGCUGUGAUCCGAUUGGUCCUCUCUGCACUGGUGGGCGUGGCUACUGUCAUUCUUCUGGUUUAUGACAUCAGAUCCAGAAGAGCUGAACAAGAUCAAGCACAGAUUCACACAUCAGGAAAUAUUGAAAUCUAAAGCAGAAGGCUGAAAUUUACAGGUUCUUCAAGUGUGUUUUUUGCUCUUGUUUUUUUCAUACUGUAUUCAAUACUGAUCUUGUUUUUGAGCAUGCGCUCUCUUUCAGCGUCAGAUUUUUUUAAAUUCCAGAUUGAAAGGUUUUAUUGUUUAUAUUUCCCUCAGAUACAUAAAACAAAUGAGUAAAGAGACACACAGAUCUCUCUUUACUACUGCUGUGCAUUUGUCAUCUGUCUUUAUCAAUAAAGUUUUUAUUCCCUCUGAGCUACAAGAGUCUCUGCAUGUUUUAUUACAGUUAUUAUGUUGCACACCUCCUGGAGGAAAACAAACUAUAUGUAUAUUUGAACA